This 93-nucleotide non-coding RNA is filed under the name bovine gut metagenome. RNAcentral's name for it is "THF riboswitch". It matches the Rfam family "THF (Tetrahydrofolate) riboswitch aptamer". From Rfam's summary of the family: THF riboswitch presents a pseudoknot that joins P1-P2 and the loop of P3 and two THF binding. The record is from RNAcentral.
AGAGUAGAAAGCAGGGCGUCAAGUGCCGGUGUGACAGGGAGUUGCAUAUCGGACGAAGGACGGCUGUCCGCGGUCCUGUUUUCGCAUCCCGCU